CCCCGCUUAGCUCAACGGCAGAGCAUUCGGCUGUAGCCCGAAAGGUUCCCUGUUCAAAUCAGGGAGCGGGGA
Molecule: transfer RNA, 72 nt
Filed under: Candidatus Aenigmatarchaeota archaeon
Lineage: Archaea; Nanobdellati; Candidatus Aenigmatarchaeota
Description: tRNA-Tyr
Rfam family: tRNA
About the family: Transfer RNA (tRNA) molecules are approximately 80 nucleotides in length. Their secondary structure includes four short double-helical elements and three loops (D, anti-codon, and T loops).
Source: RNAcentral